AUGAACCGACCACGAAGGAACUCAGCAGACAGGAGGCAAUGCUGGAUGGCAUCAGCCAGCCAGCGAGAUUGUUUUGAGGGCUCUCGCCUUGUGGUGUUCCGGGGGACCAGGGGAGGUCGUUCCGGAGCGAGCGGACGAGAGGAGGAGCCCCAGAGGUCCCCUCCACCUACCCAGCUGCCAACGAUCCCUGAGGGUCGUGUCCUGGCCGUGGCAACCCUGGGGGAUCAGGCAAGCCCCUCCCAGAGUCCUGUGGUGCCCUCCACAGCCAGCAGUCUCCCCAUGAAACGAGGGAGACGGUUUUCAUGGGAGUCAACUUCUGAGUCUUCGGCGUCCGAGACUGCCCUGCCCGAGACCAAACUCCCCCAACCCGCCUCUGACCCAGCUGUGGCCUCUGCACCGCGCCCAAGGAGGAAGAGGAGGAAGAGGGGGCCUGCCGGUCCUGUGACCCUGUCUCCCCCCGUGCCAGCAGCAGAGAGCGCUGGCGUGCCCGACCCAGCAGCGGUGAGCGUGCCCGAGCCAGCAGCGGAGAGAGCUGGCGUGCCCGUGCCAGCAGCAGUGAGAGCUGGCGUGCCCGUGCCAGCAGCGGUGAGCGCUGGCGUGCCCGUGCCAGCAGCGGAGAGAGCUGGCGUGCCCGUGCCAGCAGCGGUGAGCGCUGGCGUGCCCGUGCCAGCAGCGGUGAGCGCUGGCGUGCCCGUGCCAGCAGCGGAGAGAGCUGGCGUGCCCGUGCCAGCAGCGGAGAGAGCUGGCGUGCCCGUGCCAGCAGCGGUGAGCGCUGGCGUGCCCGAGCCAGCAGCGGUGAGCGCUGGCGUGCCCGAGCCGGCAAAGAAGAGGGCAGUAUGCAAGUCGGCAGUCGUGAGAGCGCAGGAGAGUGCCGCGGCCGACUCUGCAGCAAGGACUUUAGUACAGUGUGUCUCAUCUCGUAAGGAGAUGCCAAUUGUCUUAGCGGCUAAAGCCUUUUCAGAUUAUUUGUCUAGUCUUGUCCGUAUCCUAGAAGUCCCCGUCAGUCCUGUCUUGUCCUCAGACCCUGUCCCCAGAAAUCCCGAGUGUCCUGAUGUCGUCUCCCCGUGUCCCGUAGAUGUCGUCUCCCCGUGUCCCGUGAGUGUUGCCCCGUGUCCUGCUGAUGAAGUCAUGUAUCCUGUUGAUGUGGCCCCGUCUCCCGUAGAUGUCCCGUGUCCUGUUGUCCCCCCGUGUCCAGUAGAUGUUGCCCCGUGUCCCGUAGAUGUCCCGUGUCCAGUAGAUGUUGUCGUCCCGUGUCCAGUAGAUGUUGUCCCCCCGUGUCCAGCUGUCGUCUCCCCGCGUCCCGUAAGUCUUGCCCCGCGUCCCGUAAGUGUUGCCCCGCGUCCCUUGUCUGCUCCUAUCAUGUCCCCUGUCAGUUGUCCCGAGACCCCUCCCCGCCCCUCACCACCCAGACCUGCCCAUACCCCCCGUCGUCAGCCUUCGUCCUGUCCUCCUAAAACUCCUGCCCCACCCACUCACCCUGGUCUGUCCCCCAUGAACUUUGUGGUCCCGCCUCCUCCCCUUCCCUGUUUGUUUAUUUUGAUUUGUCACCCUAACCCUGCCGCCGUGUAUUCAUGUCUGCCUUUGUUAUUAUUUGUCAUGUCUUGUUGGUUUGUGUCGGUGUCCCAGUCCGUCAUGUCAGUCAUGUCUCGUGUUUGA
This is a long non-coding RNA of Carassius auratus (goldfish), 1656 nucleotides long. The record is from Ensembl. Lineage: Eukaryota; Metazoa; Chordata; Actinopteri; Cypriniformes; Cyprinidae.